Molecule: ribosomal RNA, 428 nt
Filed under: uncultured bacterium
Lineage: Bacteria
Description: bacterial SSU rRNA
Rfam family: Bacterial small subunit ribosomal RNA
Source: RNAcentral
GUGGGGAAUAUUGCACAAUGGGCGCAAGCCUGAUGCAGCAACGCCGCGUGAAGGAUGAAGGCCUUCGGGUUGUAAACUUCUGUCCUAGGGGAAGAAACAAAUGACAUUACCCUUGGAGGAAGCCCCGGCUAACUACGUGCCAGCAGCCGCGGUAAUACGUAGGGGGCGAGCGUUAUCCGGAAUUAUUGGGCGUAAAGAGUGCGUAGGUGGCACCUUAAGCGCAGGGUUUAAGGCAAUGGCUCAACCAUUGUUCGCCUUGCGAACUGGGGUGCUUGAGUGCAGGAGGGGAAAGUGGAAUUCCUAGUGUAGCGGUGAAAUGCGUAGAUAUUAGGAGGAACACCAGUGGCGAAGGCGACUUUCUGGACUGUUACUGACACUGAGGCACGAAAGCGUGGGGAGCAAACAGGAUUAGAAACCCUUGUAGUCCU